This is an RNA transcript of Apis cerana (Asiatic honeybee), 3287 nucleotides long. It is a transcript of the gene named phosphatidylinositol glycan anchor biosynthesis class G, with no coding region annotated. Lineage: Eukaryota; Metazoa; Arthropoda; Insecta; Hymenoptera; Apidae. The record is from RefSeq and is a predicted model, not a curated record.
UACAAAAGCAAGAGAUUAAUAUACUUUUAUAAAAUAUGGAAAUCUUUAAUGUAAUUUAAAAUAAUUUUCAUAGAUAUUUUAUAUUUAUAAACAAAAUAAUGAUAUGAAAAUACAAAUUGUGAUUUUUUUAAUGAAAAAAUGAACAUUGAAAAAAUAUAGUUAAAAAUUUAUUAUAUUUCUUUUAAUAAUUUAACCUUAAAUUGUAUAAUUUUUUUCGUGAUAAAAAAUGAAAGAUACAAUUAUAAAUUAAAUUAUUUUGUGAUGGCAGAUUUUUUUUUAGUUACAGGAAAAGAAAUGAAUAAAAAUAUAAUAUUAUUAUAUAUAGUUUUUAUUGGGCCUUUCUUUAUUGCUUUAUUUUUAUAUGGGUUUUUUCCUUUAGUAAAUUAUGAUAAUACUAAAGCCACACAAGAUAAUAUACCAAAGUCUAUAGAAAAUGUGAGAAUAAAGAGAGAUGCAUUAUAUCAACCUAUGGUUAAAAAAUUGAUCAUUAUGAUCAUUGAUGCUUUAAGAUGGGAUUUUAUAACAGGAUCAAUUGGAAAGAUUGCAAUGCCUGUAACAAAUAAUCUCAUAGAAAAUUCUUCAGCUUCUUUGUUAAAAACUAAAGUACAUUCACCAACUGUUACAAUGCCUAGAAUAAAGGCAAUUACCACUGGUAUGGUACCAAGUUUUAUUGAUGUAGCUUUAAACUUUGGAAGUAAACCAGUUACUGGUGAUAGUAUAUUUUUUCAAGCAAAACAAGCUGGUUAUAAAUCAAUAUUUUAUGGAGAUGAUACUUGGAUUACAUUAUUUCCUUUUAUAUUUGACCGUUAUGAUGGUACCACAUCAUUUUUUGUAACAGAUUUUACUGAGGUUGAUAAUAAUGUAACUAGACACAUACAUAAAGAAUUAUAUAAUAAUAAUGAUUGGUCUAUAAUGGUUCUUCAUUACUUAGGACUUGAUCAUAUUGGUCAUGUUUAUGGACCAUUUAAUCCAUUAAUUAAAACAAAACUUAAAGAAAUGGAUAAUAUAAUAGCAAAAAUUCAGUUUAAAGUUCAAGAAUGGAAUCAAAAUAAUGAUUCUACUUUGUUUAUUAUUUGUGGGGACCAUGGAAUGAAAGAUUCUGGUGGUCAUGGUGGUUCAACAAUAUCAGAAACAAUUGUACCUUUCAUUGCAAUUGGUGGAGAAUAUCAUCAAAAUUACAAUAAUCCCAAAGAAAUAUCACAAAUAGAUAUUGCAUCUACACUAUCUGUUAUUUUGGGAUUACCAAUACCAUAUUCUAAUAUAGGGACAGUUUUUUUAGAUGAUUUAUAUAACUUAUCUAUCUCAAAGAAAUUAUUUAUACUUUAUUAUAAUUCAAAGCAAGUUUUUAGUCAUUUUCAAAAGCUAGUUGAUUAUGAGUCUAAAUAUGCAUAUAAAAAAUAUUUGGAAGCAAUAAAGCUUCAUAAUGCUUGGUUAAAUAUUAAAGAUCAUCCAGAUAGCAUAACAGAUGAUAUUGUGCUUUCCUAUAAGAUUGCAUUAAAGGAAAUGAAAGAAAUUCUUAUAAACAGUACAAUAAAAUAUGAUUUCCAAAUAAUAAUAAUAGCUAUAAUUUUUCUAUGUCAUAUUACUUGUAUUUUAAUAGGAAAAAUAUCUUUUAAUUCACCUAUAUUAAAAAAUAUUAUAUUUUUCAUUAUUUUAAAUAUAUUUUCAUGGAUAUUAAUCAAUCAUUUUUGGAAACAAGAAAAUAUAUCAUUACUGCAUACAAAAAAUCUAAUUGCCAAUAUAAUAGUAUUAUGUAUCAUAAUUAUUUUAAUUAUACAUUCUUAUCUACUUGUCAAUAUUAAAGAUUUUAAUAUUUUUAUGUCUGAGAAAACAAAAAAUGGAAUAGGAAAGUGGCUUCUUUCAUUUGGAGCAUUAAUACAUGCAAUUAGUCUUGGUAGUAGUAGUUUUGUAGAAGAAGAACAUCAAACAUGGUAUUUUUAUUGGGUCACAGUUCUUAUAUUGCUACUUUACCAUUUUAUCGCGAAAUAUUUUUCAAGAGAUUUUUUACAUAUACAAUAUUACAAGAACUACCAACAAUAUUUACAUGUACAAAUUAUCAUUAAACUUUUGUUACUAUUGAUAGGACACAGAAUUCUCAGGAAAUUAAAUAGUACUGGGGAUAAAUAUGCUCAUCUUCCUGAUAUAGCAGGAUUUUUAUUAAAACAAGAAAACAUAUUGAGCAUGACAAUUGUACUUGUUACUGGUCUUAUACUUUUGAUGUGGAUUGAUUUUAGUCAUGAAAGUAAAACACAUAAAAUACAAACAUUAGCAUAUAAUUCAAUAGUUAGUAUAUGUAUUUAUCUUCGUCAUAUGCAUAACGGUAAUGUUGCCAAAAUAGUGUUUUAUCCCCAAACUAGUGGAAUAUACGAAGUACAAAUUUUUUGGUUUUUACUCUUGAUAAAUUUUUCAACAUACAUUUAUAAUAUGAUCCAAAUAAAAAAACAUAAUGCCAAACUCUUUUUAAAAAUUUCUUUGUAUUUUAUUCUAAAAACAUGGAUUAUGAUCUCAGCAAUGCUUCAUAAGCCGCACAAUGUGAUACUUUUACCAUUUCAAAUAAUAUUUAGCAAUAUAAUUUCUGAAAUAAUUAAAAACGAUAUUUCUCAAGAUGUUGGUGUGAUCUUAUAUAUCUGGAUUGGCAAUGUAUUUUAUUUUUAUCAGGGAAAUUCCAAUAGUUUAGCAACUAUUGAUGUAGCUGCAGGUUACGUUGGUGUACAAUCGUAUAUUCCAUUUAUUAAUGGUUCAUUAUUGUUAAUUAAUACUUAUUCAUCUCCGGUUUUGGCCUAUUUUUUAUUUAUUUAUUAUUCGAUCUUGGAACAUCCAUAUAACAAAAUAUAAAUACAAAGUACCGAUAAUAAAUAUAAUGUUCCAUUGUUAAAUUAAGGAUGAUCAUGCAUUUAUUAUUUGGAAUGUCAAUUUUUUAAAUAUUUCAAUAUUUCUAAAAUGAAAGGAAGCGUAAGAUUCCAUUUCUUCAGUUACGUUGUACAUUGGUUUUUACCAGUUGCACGUUGCAUUAUAGUAGGAUCCAUUGGUGUAGCAAUCAUAGAUAUAGAUAAUAUUGGAAUGAUUAAGCAACACAACCAUAAGACUUGAUCAACCGAAAAUAAGGGCGGUAGUAAUAAGAAACCGGACAUAGCUUGUGUGAAGGAGAGAGUAACUGUACAACAGAGCCAGAAUUGCACGCAAUUCCAGAGGCACAUCAUAUAAUGCCGAGCCUAAAUAUGCAAUAAACAAUGUCCAAUAAUUAUAAUAACUACGACAAGAAUUUACUAAUAAAACUGGAAAUUGAA